This 468-nucleotide ribosomal RNA is filed under the name uncultured bacterium. RNAcentral's name for it is "partial 16S ribosomal RNA". It matches the Rfam family "Bacterial small subunit ribosomal RNA", at positions 28 to 507 of the family's 1533-position model. The record is from RNAcentral.
GACGAACGCUGGCGGCGUGCUUAACACAUGCAAGUCGAACGGAAAGGCCCUGCUUUUGUGGGGUGCUCGAGUGGCGAACGGGUGAGUAACACGUGAGUAACCUGCCCUGGACUUUGGGAUAACUUCAGGAAACUGGGGCUAAUACCGGAUAGGAGCUCCUGCUGCAGGGUGGGGGUUGGAAAGUUUCGGCGGUUGGGGAUGGACUCGCGGCUUAUCAGCUUGUUGGUGGGGUAGUGGCUUACCAAGGCUUUGACGGGUAGCCGGCCUGAGAGGGUGACCGGCCACAUUGGGACUGAGAUACGGCCCAGACUCCUACGGGAGGCAGCAGUGGGGAAUAUUGCACAAUGGGCGGAAGCCUGAUGCAGCAACGCCGCGUGCGGGAUGACGGCCUUCGGGUUGUAAACCGCUUUCGCCUGUGACGAAGCGUGAGUGACGGUAAUGGGUAAAGAAGCACCGGCUAACUACGUG